Molecule: ribosomal RNA, 610 nt
Filed under: Naganishia albida
Lineage: Eukaryota; Fungi; Basidiomycota; Tremellomycetes; Filobasidiales; Filobasidiaceae
Description: eukaryotic LSU rRNA
Rfam family: Eukaryotic large subunit ribosomal RNA
Source: RNAcentral
UAAGCGGAGGAAAAGAAACUAACAAGGAUUCCCCUAGUAACGGCGAGUGAAGCGGGAAGAGCUCAAAUUUGAAAUCUGGUAGCCUUCGGUUGCCCGAGUUGUAAUCUAGAGAAGUGUUUUCCGUGCCGGCCCAUGUACAAGUCCCUUGGAACAGGGCGUCAUAGAGGGUGAGAAUCCCGUCCUUGACAUGGACCCCCGGUGCUUUGUGAUACACUUUCAACGAGUCGAGUUGUUUGGGAAUGCAGCUCAAAAUGGGUGGUGAAUUCCAUCUAAAGCUAAAUAUUGGCGAGAGACCGAUAGCGAACAAGUACCGUGAGGGAAAGAUGAAAAGCACUUUGGAAAGAGAGUUAAACAGUACGUGAAAUUGUUGAAAGGGAAACGAUUGAAGUCAGUCAUGCUCUUGGGACUUACCUCCCUUGAGUGGGGUCAACAUCAGUUUUGAUCGAUGGAUAAAGGCACGGGGAAGGUAGCACUCUCGGGUGAACUUAUAGCCUCGCGUCAUAUACAUUGAUUGGGACUGAGGAACGCAGCAUGCCUUUUGGCCGGGAUUCGUCCACGUACAUGCUUAGGAUGUUGACAUAAUGGCUUUAAACGACCCGUCUUGAAACAC